CUGCCUUAGCCUUCUUCACUCACUCCUACUGAUCAACUCACCCCCAUAAGCUAUUCAGCUUGUCAGUUGUUCCAUGGGUAGAGGGAGGAGGGGAUGAAAAGGAAUUAGGAUAUGCUUCUCCCUUUCACUUAAUACCUAGCAUCCUCUGCAACACUGGUACGUCCUUUAAGAAUGCCGGGAGCUCUCUUUCUCCAUUAGAGGAAUGACUUCAUAAGACUCUAGAGGUUGAGUACCAGUAGAAACCUCAUAUUUACCUGGAAGAUUACUUUUAGGAAGCUUGAAGAAUUCUCUCUUCCAACUUGGUUAAUCUGAGUUCUGUGGCACCUACAAGAGAAAUGGCUGCUUAUAUGUGACAACCUGCAGAUCUGAGCAGCAGGGGAACAAAGGCAGGGCCAACACAAUGGCACUGGUCCCGUUGAGUCCUGGGGAGUCCUCAGCUUUCAGGAGUCCCCUGAAUAUGGGGCAACCCCACAGGGAUUUCCUGUAAGAUUUUAAAUGAAGAAAGUCUUCUACUGCUGUAUAAAGAAAAAAAAAAGAAGAAGAAAGGGAUGGAUCUCACUAUGUUGCCAAGGCUGGCUCGAGAACUCCUGGGCUCAACCAAUCCUCCUGCCUCAGCCUCCCAAAUAGCUGGGACUACAGGUGUGUGCCGCCACUCUCCCCUUUUUAUUGGAAGAGAGUUCAUAGAGGACUGAGCACCUAUUUAGUAUAUGUUUCUAGGUUUGGUUACAAUUUGUUAAGAAAAGUAGAUUUGCAAACUCACUACUUUUGAAAUAUUAAAAAUACAUGCCAUGAAUUUCUACUUCAGCACAGAUUUGGACAACCACCUUAUGUAUGGAAAGAAAAUUUACUGAAUUUAGUGCUAGGCAUAGAUGAGAAUUUCUACUUGAAAAAAGCCCUUAAAACUUUUCCUGCUGUACUGUUCAAUUAUUAAUAUAUUUAAUGCACAGACGCAGUUCACAAUGUGGACUGAUGUGAACUUGUGUUGCAUUGGCUUUAUAAAUUAGGACAGUUGAUUUUACUUAUCCUCCUGAUUUGCCCAGAUAUGAUCUCUAUAAAAAAUCACAGAAAUUUUUGUAAAAUAAUCUUGCAGUUCUUGUUUUUGCUCUUUUUCUUAUUUUUUUCUCAACAAAAAAUUAUUUCUGAUGUUCUAUUUUCACUUAAAUGAAAACAUUCCAUGGAAGAAGUACAAAGAAGUAAUGCUUUGAAAUGACAGUCCCUGAAUUUUCAAGAAAGCCAGAUUCUUCCACAUCCAUAGUCUUCCUUUGUCCUGUUAAUAAUCCUCAUGAUGAGAGGAAAGUUACUGCCUAGUGUUUUAUGACUGGGAGAAUGGAGUAACAAGAAUCUAAGUGGUCAGAAGUAGAGAUUGUCAAGAAUACAGGCUCUCAGGUUUUGGUGUCUGUGCUCCAUCAGCCAAACUUUGCCCUUUUCUAGAAAAGACCCAAGUGGUGAAGUCACUAAUUUUGUCAUUGUUAUUAUGUACUGGAGAAAAAUUAAAUGAUCCACCUCUUUAUCAUAUACUGAACUUUCAUGAUAAGUAACACAUGUGGAGUAACCAAGGCUUAGCCAACUAGGGAUUAAUGUUAGAAAAUGAAUUUUGCUUUCUCUAUACUUGUUUAGAAAUAGCAAAAGUUCUGUAAGGGGAUGGCUAGGGGCCAAUGGGAGAGGUGAAGGACCUUUAUCACAGUAUUUGUUUGGUCCCCAUCAAAGUUCCUGGGUGCCAUGGAAAAGUGUUUUUCUUUUCUGGACCCUUUACUUCAUCUGCAAAAUGGUGAGGCAGUUAAACUCUCUGGCUUGCUUUUAUCUUACAGGCAUUCAGUGAGGUAUAUAACCUGCAAUAUUUCUUAAAAGUUGUAUAGGUUUUGCUGACCUGAAUUCUUUCAUGUUCUUCUUCAUCCUACAUGUGUAACUAUUCCAUGUUAUCGGUCCCCACGAUGAAAGAUAAUGGAAAAACAAUGCCUGUCUUUGUCUGACUCAAAAAGCAUGCUGAAUGGACUUUUCAUCCAUGUGGCUGUGAUCAGUUCCUAAAGCAGAGGAAUCUGCAGCCUAAUGACACAUCAGGAAUUGAUGGAACCCCAGCAGACAGCUUCUAUGAGGAGAUUAGGACUCUCAGAAGAGACACCAGAGGCGUGGCCACACAGAGAAAAAGAUCAUGUGGGGACACAGUGAAAAGGCAGCCAUCAUAAGCCACAGAGAGAGGACUCAGAAGAAACCAACUCUGCUGACACCUUCAUCUUGAACUUCUAGCCUCUAGAACUGUGAAAAAACAAAUUUCUGUUGUUAAGACACCCGGUCUGUGGUAUUUUGUUAAGACAGCCCUAGCAAACUAACACAAUUUUGUACACUAAAUAAAGUCCAAUUCAAUUUUAAUUUUAUAGAAACUGAAACAAAUAAUUUAAAGAUUUACUUAGUAAAUUACUUCAGAUUGGGAUCAAAUGUGUACAUGAAUUAUGAAAAUGUAAGAAAUGGAUAUUUAAAUAAGUAUACCAGAACAUAAAAAUUCCAGUGCCUGGUUUUUUUUUUUUUUUUGAAAGCCACUUAUCCCAACAAUAAAACUGAUGCUCAAAAUA
RNAcentral lists this long non-coding RNA (2567 nucleotides) under Homo sapiens (human). RNAcentral describes it as "HSALNT0091517". Lineage: Eukaryota; Metazoa; Chordata; Mammalia; Primates; Hominidae. The record is from RNAcentral.